Molecule: long non-coding RNA, 230 nt
Filed under: Elaeis guineensis (African oil palm)
Lineage: Eukaryota; Viridiplantae; Streptophyta; Magnoliopsida; Arecales; Arecaceae
Description: long non-coding RNA (EGUI_LNC008786)
Source: RNAcentral
UAUUGCUACUGAAAUGAAUCGAGAUCAAAAGAUGGACGUCUGAUCCUCGUGUAGGAAAGCUGGUGCUGAAGUGACCUGCAAAAUAAGUCCCAAAUCAAAGGUUGUGGCUCCAACGAGGACCCUCCGACAUUCAAGUUAGAAAGACAAAGAAUAAAGAAGUAGCAACGGAUUUUCUAAGAGAGAUUUGAUUGGACUUACCUAAGUCCUCGGAGCAUCGAUUGUUUAUAUAG